Molecule: transfer RNA, 109 nt
Filed under: Candidatus Bathyarchaeota archaeon
Lineage: Archaea; Thermoproteati; Candidatus Bathyarchaeota
Description: tRNA-Ser
Rfam family: tRNA
About the family: Transfer RNA (tRNA) molecules are approximately 80 nucleotides in length.
Source: RNAcentral
GCGGGGUUGCCCUAGCCUGGUAGGGGGCAGGCCUGCUAAGCCUGUGGUCCAUCGGGCCGCGCNNGUGGUCCUUCGGGCCGCGCGGGUUCAAAUCCCGCACCCCGCGCCA